This 1287-nucleotide ribosomal RNA is filed under the name Triticum aestivum (bread wheat). RNAcentral describes it as "partial small subunit ribosomal RNA". The record is from RNAcentral. Lineage: Eukaryota; Viridiplantae; Streptophyta; Magnoliopsida; Poales; Poaceae.
AUGGCAGCUCGGUCGCCGCCGAGGCCGGUGCUGCUGCUCCUGCUCCUCGCCCUCCUCUGCUGCCACAUUGCGCUCUGCUCCUCCGCUCCGCCGGCCGCCAAGCCCAAGCCCAAGCUCUCCGGCGGCCGCAAGGAGCUCGUCUCCACCGAUGACGACGAGCCGGUCAAGCCGCCCAAGACCACCGCUGCUGCCGGCGUCAAGAAGAAGGUCUCCUCUGGCGCCAAGAAUCAGACCAAGGUUCUGAAAGGCACGAAACCGGAGGAGUCCACCUCGACGACGACCAAGGUCACCACCAAGAAGGCGACCGCUAAAGCGGAGUCGACCACGACCAAGAAGCCGACCGCUAAAGCGGGCGGCGAUGCGGCCACGACCAAGAAGCCGGCCACUAAAGCGGCCGGCGAUGCGGCCAAGCCCAAGGUCCCGAAGCUGGACAAGGCGGCGGCCACCGCCAAGCCCAAGAGCGCCGAUUCCGCCAAGUCCUCCAAGGCGGGCGCUGCCAAGCCGGUGAAAUCUGAGGGGGGCGCUCCCAAGGCCAAGAAGCCGUCCAAUUCGACGGCGGAUUCGGCCAAGUCGAGCAAGAAAGCGAAGGCCGUCGUCGCCGACGGGAAGGUGAAGGCGAAUUCGACCGUGAGCAGCGAGGAGGCGGCGGGGGUGGAGGAGGACGUGGUCUUCGCGGAGGAGGCGGAGGGGACGGAGGACCUCAUGUCCGAGUUCCGGGGCCUCCCGGCGCGGCUGCAUCAGACGCUCAUGCCGGACCUGGCGCGGCUGUCGUACACGUCCAAGGCGUACCUGUCGGCCGCCAAUGCGGGGAUCGCCGGCGGCGUGCGGCCGGUCCUGGGGGGGCGGUGGGGGGUGGCGGCGGCCUCCGCGGCGUCGGUGGCCCUGCUGCUGCUGCCCCUCUGCAUGCUCACCGCGCUGGUGCGGCGCAUGGGCCCGUACCUGCCGCUCCUCCACCGCGCGCUGCUGCUCUCGCAGGCCUACCUCGCCAUCUACUUCGGCACGCUCGCGCUCGCCGCCGCCGCCACGGGGCUGGAGCCGCUCCGCUUCUUCCACGCCGCCUCGCCCGCGGCCUACGCCUGGACGCAGGCCGCGCAGUCGCUCGGCUUCAUGGGCUACCUCGUGCUCCAGAUGGUGGACCUCGUCGCCGUCUUCUCCGGGGCCCCGCGCGCGAACUGGCGCGUGUACGCCGUCUACGCCGCCUGCUUCGUCAUCAUCUGCGCGUGCGCGCGAGCGGAGAAGAGGAAGAAGGCCUACCUCGCCGGCGCCGAGGAGUGGAAGAAGAGCUGA